GAUGAACGCUAGCGGCAGGCUUAAUACAUGCAAGUCGAGGGCUCAGCAAUGGGACCGGCGCACGGGUGCGUAACACGUAUGCAACCUGCUGUAUCUGGGGGAUAGCCUCUCGAAAAGAGAGAUUAAUACCCCAUAGUAUAACUGAAGAGCUAUUUUUUGGUUAUUAAAGAUUUAUCGGUUAAAGAUGGGCAUGCGGCUGAUUAGGUAGUUGGUGAGGUAAUGGCUCACCAAGCCAACGAUCAGUAGGGGGUCUGAGAGGAUGUCCCCCCACACUGGUACUGAGACACGGACCAGACUCCUACGGGAGGCAGCAGUAGGGAAUAUUGGACAAUGGGGGCAACCCUGAUCCAGCCAUUCCGCGUGCAGGAAUAAGGCCCUAUGGGUCGUAAGCUGCUUUUGUAUGGGAAAAAAUCAUCUUACGUGUAGGAUGUUGAUGGUACCAUGAGAAUAAGGAUCGGCUAACUUCGUG
This 469-nucleotide ribosomal RNA is filed under the name uncultured bacterium. RNAcentral describes it as "bacterial SSU rRNA". It matches the Rfam family "Bacterial small subunit ribosomal RNA", at positions 28 to 507 of the family's 1533-position model. The record is from RNAcentral.